AGUCCCAAUAUCCCAUUAAUAGGGUCCCAAUCCCAUUAAUGGGGUCAGAACACUCACAUAUAAUUAGGUGGGUCCCAUCCCAUCAAUGGGGUCAAGUCCCACCAAUAAGGACCCAAUAACUUGGGGGGGGGGGGGACAGACCCCAUUGAUUUCUAUGGGGUUCCAUUGAAUUCUGGGCAAUGAAGGUUAUGGGGUGGGGGGGGUCCCAUCCCAUUAAUGGGGUCCCAUCCCAUCAAUGGGGUCAGACUCCAUUAAUAGGGUCCCAUCCCAUCAAUGGGGUCACUCGAUCAAUGGGGUCCAUCCCAUCAAUGGGGUCAAGUCCCACCAAUGAGGACCCAAUAACUUGGGGGGGGGGGGGGGGA
Molecule: long non-coding RNA, 362 nt
Organism: Coturnix japonica (Japanese quail)
Lineage: Eukaryota; Metazoa; Chordata; Aves; Galliformes; Phasianidae
Source: Ensembl